RNAcentral lists this ribosomal RNA (207 nucleotides) under uncultured bacterium. RNAcentral describes it as "partial 16S ribosomal RNA". It matches the Rfam family "Bacterial small subunit ribosomal RNA", at positions 568 to 774 of the family's 1533-position model. The record is from RNAcentral.
CUCGUAGGUGGCUUUGUAAGUCGGAGGUGAAAGACCACGGCUCAACCGUGGAAACGCCUUCGAAACUGUGAAGCUUGAGGCUGGGAGAGGAAAUCGGAAUUCCUGGUGUAGCGGUGAAAUGCGUAGAUAUCAGGAGGAACACCGGUGGCGAAGGCGGAUUUCUGGACCAGUUCUGACACUGAUGAGCGAAAGCCAGGGGAGCAAACA